GCCCUCGUGGCGGAAUUGGCAUACGCGGCAGGUUGAGGGCCUGUGUCCGUAAGGACGUGGAGGUUCAAGUCCUCUCGAGGGCA
Molecule: transfer RNA, 83 nt
Filed under: Chloroflexota bacterium
Lineage: Bacteria; Bacillati; Chloroflexota
Also listed under: 1 other name
Description: tRNA-Leu
Rfam family: tRNA
About the family: Transfer RNA (tRNA) molecules are approximately 80 nucleotides in length.
Source: RNAcentral